UGCGGGGUGACUGGAGUGGCUCCAGCACGGUCUCAUAAAUCGUAUGACGCGGGUUCGAAUCCCGCCCCCGCUACAA
This 76-nucleotide transfer RNA is filed under the name bacterium. RNAcentral describes it as "tRNA-Met". It matches the Rfam family "tRNA". From Rfam's summary of the family: Transfer RNA (tRNA) molecules are approximately 80 nucleotides in length. The record is from RNAcentral.